UUAACACAUGCAAGUCGAGGGGCAGCAUGAACUUACCUGGCUCUUUUAGAUGGCGACCGGCACACGGGAGAGUAGCACGUAUCCCACCUGCCGAUGACUCGAGGAUAGCCUUUCAAAAGAAAGAUUAAUACCCGAUGGCAUAGUUCUUCCGCAUGGUAAAACUAUUAAAGAAUUUCGGUCAUCGAUGGGGAUGCGUUCCAUUAGGUUGUUGGCGGGGUAACGGCCCACCAAACCUUCUAUGGAUAGGGGUUCUGAAAGGAAGGUCCCCCACAUUGGAACUGACACACGGUCCAAACUCCUACGGGGGGCAGCAGUGAGGAAUAUUGGUCAAUGGACGAGAGUCUGAACCAGCCAAGUAGCGUGAAGGAUGACUGCCCUAUGGGUUGUAAACUUCUUUUAUACGGGAAUAAAGUGAGGCACGUGUGCCUUUUUGUAUGUACCGUAUGAAUAAGGAUCGGCUAACUCCGUGCCAGCAGCCGCGGUAAUACGGAGGAUCCGAGCGUUAUCCGGAUUUAUUGGGUUUAAAGGGAGCGUAGGCGGACGCUUAAGUCAGUUGUGAAAGUUUGCGGCUCAACCGUAAAAUUGCAGUUGAUACUGGGUGUCUUGAGUACAGUAGAGGCAGGCGGAAUUCGUGGUGUAGCGGUGAAAUGCUUAGAUAUCACGAAGAACUCCGAUUGCGAAGGCAGCUUGCUGGACUGUAACUGACGCUGAUGCUCGAAAGUGUGGGUAUCAA
This 733-nucleotide ribosomal RNA is filed under the name uncultured organism. Its description in RNAcentral is "SSU rRNA". It matches the Rfam family "Bacterial small subunit ribosomal RNA", at positions 48 to 771 of the family's 1533-position model. The record is from RNAcentral.